This 404-nucleotide ribosomal RNA is filed under the name uncultured bacterium. Its description in RNAcentral is "bacterial SSU rRNA". It matches the Rfam family "Bacterial small subunit ribosomal RNA", at positions 355 to 776 of the family's 1533-position model. The record is from RNAcentral.
UGGGGAAUCUUGGACAAUGGGCGCAAGCCUGAUCCAGCGACGCCGCGUGGGUGAUGAAGGCCUUCGGGUUGUAAAGCCCUUUUCCUGGGGACGAUGAUGACGGUACCCGGGGAAUAAGCACCGGCUAACUCCGUGCCAGCAGCCGCGGUAAGACGGAGGGUGCUAGCGUUGUUCGGAAUUACUGGGCGUAAAGGGCGCGUAGGCGGCUUGGUAAGUCGGGUGUGAAAGCCCGGGGCUCAACCCCGGAACUGCAUCCGAGACUGUCGAGCUUGAGACCGGGAGAGGAGAGUGGAAUACCCAGUGUAGAGGUGAAAUUCGUAGAUAUUGGGUGGAACACCGGUGGCGAAAGCGGCUCUCUGGCCCGGAUCUGACGCUGAGGCGCGAAAGCGUGGGGAGCAAACAGG